RNAcentral lists this ribosomal RNA (1295 nucleotides) under Leiogalathea turnus. Its description in RNAcentral is "SSU rRNA". It matches the Rfam family "Eukaryotic small subunit ribosomal RNA", at positions 21 to 1276 of the family's 1831-position model. The record is from RNAcentral. Lineage: Eukaryota; Metazoa; Arthropoda; Malacostraca; Decapoda; Munidopsidae.
AGUCAUAUGCUUGUCUCAAAGAUUAAGCCAUGCAUGUGUCAGUACAAACCAAUAUAAGGUGAAACCGCGAAUGGCUCAUUAAAUCAGCUAUGUUUCAUUGGAUCUGUAACCCCCAUUUACUUGGACAACUGUGGUAAUUCUAGAGCUAAUACAUGCACACAUAGUCCCUGACCGUGAGGGAAGGGCGCUUUUAUUAGUUCAAAACCGGUCGGGCCUCGGUCCGUAAACCCACCUGUGAUGACUCUGAAUAACUUUUGGCUGAGCGCACGGUCUCCGUACUGGCGCCGCAUCUUUCAAGUGUCUGCCUUAUCAGCUUUCGAUUGUAGGUUAUGCGCCUACAAUGGCUAUAACGGGUAACGGGGAAUCAGGGUUCGAUUCCGGAGAGGGAGCCUGAGAAACGGCUACCACAUCUAAGGAAGGCAGCAGGCACGCAAAUUACCCACUCCCGGCACGGGGAGGUAGUGACGAAAAAUAACGAUGCGAGACUCAUCCGAGGCCUCGCAAUCGGAAUGAGUACACUUUAAAUCCUUUAACGAGGACCCAUUGGAGGGCAAGUCUGGUGCCAGCAGCCGCGGUAAUUCCAGCUCCAAUAGCGUAUAUUAAAGUUGUUGCGGUUAAAAAGCUCGUAGUUGGACUUAAGUUCUGGACUGAUGGUUCACCGCCCGGUGCCUACUGUCACGCUCCGAAACCGCUCAUUAAUUUGAGCCCUGCCGGCUUGCACGGGGUGCUCUUCACCGAGUGUCCCGAGUGGCCGGUAUGUUUACUUUGAAAAAAUUAGAGUGCUUAAAGCAGGCUACUUGUAUGGCCUGAAUGUCUAUGCAUGGAAUAAUGGAAUAGGACCUCGGUUCUAUUUUGUCGGUUUUCCUUAUCGGAACCCGAGGUAAUGACUAAUCGAGACAGGCGGGGGCAUUCGUACUGCGACGCUAGAGGUGAAAUUCUUGGACCGUCGCAAGACGAACUACUGCGAAAGCAUUUGCCAAGGAUGUUUUCCUUAAUCAAGAACGAAAGUUAGAGGUUCGAAGGCGAUCAGAUACCGCCCUAGUUCUAACCAUAAACGAUGCUAACUAGCGAUCCGCCGGCGUUAUUCCCAUGACCCGGCGGGCAGCUUCCGGGAAACCAAAGUCUUUGAGUUCCGGGGGAAGUAUGGUUGCAAAGCUGAAACUUAAAGGAAUUGACGGAAGGGCACCACCAGGAGUGGAGCCUGCGGCUUAAUUUGACUCAACACGGGGAACCUCACCAGGCCCGGACACCGGAAGGAUUGACAGAUUGAGAGCUCUUUCUCGAUUCGGUGGGUG